Molecule: ribosomal RNA, 630 nt
Filed under: uncultured bacterium
Lineage: Bacteria
Description: bacterial SSU rRNA
Rfam family: Bacterial small subunit ribosomal RNA
Source: RNAcentral
CCUACGGGAGGCGGCAGUGGGGAAUUUUGGACAAUGGGCGAAAGCCUGAUCCAGCAAUGCCGCGUGAGUGAAGAAGGCCUUCGGGUUGUAAAGCUCUUUUGUCAGGGAAGAAACGGUGCGGGCUAAUAUCCCGCACUAAUGACGGUACCUGAAGAAUAAGCACCGGCUAACUACGUGCCAGCAGCCGCGGUAAUACGUAGGGUGCAAGCGUUAAUCGGAAUUACUGGGCGUAAAGCGUGCGCGGGCGGUUUUGUAAGUUUGUCGUGAAAGCCCCGGGCUCAACCUGGGAAUUGCGAUGAAGACUGCAAGGCUUGAAUCUGGCAGAGGGGGGUAGAAUUCCACGUGUAGCAGUGAAAUGCGUAGAGAUGUGGAGGAACACCGAUGGCGAAGGCAGCCCCCUGGGUCAAGAUUGACGCUCAUGCACGAAAGCGUGGGGAGCAAACAGGAUUAGAUACCCUGGUAGUCCACGCCCUAAACGAUGUCUACUAGUUGUCGGGUUUUAAUUAACUUGGUAACGCAGCUAACGCGUGAAGUAGACCGCCUGGGGAGGUACGGUCGCGAGAAUUAAACUUAACUAAGAAGUUAGACGGCGUGAGACGUCGCCGACGGACGACGACGAGGGAGGUUAGG